UACGAGGGGGGCGAGCGUUGUUCGGAAUUAUUGGGCGUAAAGGGUGCGUAGGCGGUUUGGUAAGUCUUAUGUGAAAUCUAUGGGCUCAACUCAUAGUCUGCAUGAGAAACUGCCGGGCUUGAGUAUGGGAGAGGUGAGUGGAAUUCCUGGUGUAGCGGUGAAAUGCGUAGAUAUCAAGUGGAACACCAGUGGCGAAGGCGAGUCUCUGGACAUUUCCUGACGCUGAGGCACGAAAGCCAGGGGAGCAAACGGG
This 253-nucleotide ribosomal RNA is filed under the name uncultured bacterium. RNAcentral's name for it is "partial 16S ribosomal RNA". It matches the Rfam family "Bacterial small subunit ribosomal RNA", at positions 524 to 776 of the family's 1533-position model. The record is from RNAcentral.